RNAcentral lists this ribosomal RNA (491 nucleotides) under uncultured bacterium. RNAcentral's name for it is "partial 16S ribosomal RNA". It matches the Rfam family "Bacterial small subunit ribosomal RNA", at positions 29 to 506 of the family's 1533-position model. The record is from RNAcentral.
AGUGAACGCUGGCGGUAGGCCUAACACAUGCCAGUCGAACGGCAGCACAGUAAGAGCUUGCUCUUACGGGUGGCGAGUGGCGGACGGGUGAGGAAUACAUCGGAAUCUACUUUUUCGUGGGGGAUAACGUAGGGAAACUUACGCUAAUACCGCAUACGACCUACGGGUGAAAGCAGGGGAUCUUCGGACCUUGUGCGAUUGAAUGAGCCGAUGUCGGAUUAGCUAGUUGGCGGGGUAAAGGCCCACCAAGGCGACGAUCCGUAGCUGGUCUGAGAGGAUGAUCAGCCACACUGGAACUGAGACACGGUCCAGACUCCUACGGGAGGCAGCAGUGGGGAAUAUUGGACAAUGGGCGCAAGCCUGAUCCAGCCAUACCGCGUGGGUGAAGAAGGCCUUCGGGUUGUAAAGCCCUUUUGUUGGGAAAGAAAAGCAGCAGGUUAAUACCCCGCUGUUCUGACGGUACCCAAAGAAUAAGCACCGGCUAACUUCGU